AAGGUUCCAUUUCAGGAUACUCAUUCACCAUUGUUCACGAGAUUGACAGGCAUUUGGGUUCUGGGAUGCCAUUUGAGAGGAUUUUGUCAUAGAUAUUCAGGGGUCAUAAGUCAUGAUUCAGCAAGGUCUUCUGGCGUACAUAGAUGUUCAUAGGAUCGUCAGGGUAUGAGAGCGUUUGUUCAAGUCAAGUGAGC
Neoarius graeffei (lesser salmon catfish) is the source of this 194-nucleotide long non-coding RNA. RefSeq lists it as uncharacterized. Lineage: Eukaryota; Metazoa; Chordata; Actinopteri; Siluriformes; Ariidae. The record is from RefSeq and is a predicted model, not a curated record. The transcript has 3 exons.